This 253-nucleotide ribosomal RNA is filed under the name uncultured bacterium. Its description in RNAcentral is "partial 16S ribosomal RNA". It matches the Rfam family "Bacterial small subunit ribosomal RNA", at positions 524 to 776 of the family's 1533-position model. The record is from RNAcentral.
UACGAACCGUGCGAACGUUAUUCGGAAUCACUGGGCUUAAAGCGCACGUAGGCGGCUUACUAAGUCAGGGGUGAAAUCCUGGAGCUCAACUCCAGAACUGCCUUUGAUACUGGUAAGCUCGAGUCCGGGAGAGGUGAGUGGAACUGCGAGUGUAGAGGUGAAAUUCGUAGAUAUUCGCAAGAACACCAGUGGCGAAGGCGGCUCACUGGCCCGGUACUGACGCUGAGGUGCGAAAGCGUGGGGAGCAAACAGG